GAUGAUGAACGCAGCGAAAUGCGAUAAGUAAUGUGAAUUGCAGAAUUCAGUGAAUCAUCGAAUCUUUGAACGCACAUUGCGCCCGUCAGUAUUCUGGCGGGCAUGCCUGUUCGAGCGUCAUUACGCCCCUCAAGUCCCCUGUGGACUUGGUGUUGGGGAUCGGCGAGGCUGGUUUUCCAGCACAGCCGUCCCUUAAAUUAAUUGGCGGUCUCGCCGUGGCCCUCCUCUGCGCAGUAGUAAAACACUCGCAACAGGAGCCCGGCGCGGUCCACUGCCGUAAAACCCCCCAACUUUUUAUAGUUGACCUCGAAUCAGGUAGGACUACCCGCUGAACUUAAGCAUAUCAAUAAGCGGAGGA
Molecule: unclassified non-coding RNA, 358 nt
Filed under: soil metagenome
Description: partial contains 5.8S ribosomal RNA, internal transcribed spacer 2, and large subunit ribosomal RNA
Rfam family: 5.8S ribosomal RNA (bases 1-120)
Source: RNAcentral